RNAcentral lists this ribosomal RNA (1432 nucleotides) under uncultured organism. RNAcentral's name for it is "SSU rRNA". It matches the Rfam family "Bacterial small subunit ribosomal RNA". The record is from RNAcentral.
GCUAGCUACAGGCUUAACACAUGCAAGUCGAGGGGCAGCAUGGUCUUAGCUUGCUAAGGCCGAUGGCGACCGGCGCACGGGUGAGUAACACGUAUCCAACCUGCCGUCUACUCUUGGACAGCCUUCUGAAAGGAAGAUUAAUACAAGAUGGCAUCAUGAGUCCGCAUGUUCACAUGAUUAAAGGUAUUCCGGUAGACGAUGGGGAUGCGUUCCAUUAGAUAGUAGGCGGGGUAACGGCCCACCUAGUCUUCGAUGGAUAGGGGUUCUGAGAGGAAGGUCCCCCACAUUGGAACUGAGACACGGUCCAAACUCCUACGGGAGGCAGCAGUGAGGAAUAUUGGUCAAUGGGCGAGAGCCUGAACCAGCCAAGUAGCGUGAAGGAUGACUGCCCUAUGGGUUGUAAACUUCUUUUAUAAAGGAAUAAAGUCGGGUAUGGAUACCCGUUUGCAUGUACUUUAUGAAUAAGAAUCGGCUAACUCCGUGCCAGCAGCCGCGGUAAUACGGAGGAUCCGAGCGUUAUCCGGAUUUAUUGGGUUUAAAGGGAGCGUAGAUGGAUGUUUAAGUCAGUUGUGAAAGUUUGCGGCUCAACCGUAAAAUUGCAGUUGAUACUGGAUAUCGUGAGUGCAGUUGAGGCAGGCGGAAUUCGUGGUGUAGCGGUGAAAUGCUUAGAUAUCACGAAGAACUCCGAUUGCGAAGGCAGCCUGCUAAGCUGCAACUGACAUUGAGGCUCGAAAGUGUGGGUAUCAAACAGGAUUAGAUACCCUGGUAGUCCACACGGUAAACGAUGAAUACUCGCUGUUUGCGAUAUACUGCAAGCGGCCAAGCGAAAGCGUUAAGUAUUCCACCUGGGGAGUACGCCGGCAACGGUGAAACUCAAAGGAAUUGACGGGGGCCCGCACAAGCGGAGGAACAUGUGGUUUAAUUCGAUGAUACGCGAGGAACCUUACCCGGGCUUAAAUUGCAGAUGAAUUACGGUGAAAGCCGUAAGCCGCAAGGCAUCUGUGAAGGUGCUGCAUGGUUGUCGUCAGCUCGUGCCGUGAGGUGUCGGCUUAAGUGCCAUAACGAGCGCAACCCUUGUUGUCAGUUACUAACAGGUUCCGCUGAGGACUCUGACAAGACUGCCAUCGUAAGAUGUGAGGAAGGUGGGGAUGACGUCAAAUCAGCACGGCCCUUACGUCCGGGGCUACACACGUGUUACAAUGGGGGGUACAGAGGGCCGCUACCACGCGAGUGGAUGCCAAUCCCCAAAACCUCUCUCAGUUCGGACUGGAGUCUGCAACCCGACUCCACGAAGCUGGAUUCGCUAGUAAUCGCGCAUCAGCCACGGCGCGGUGAAUACGUUCCCGGGCCUUGUACACACCGCCCGUCAAGCCAUGGGAGCCGGGGGUACCUGAAGUGCGUAACCGCGAGGAGCGCCCUAGGGUAAAACUGA